GUCCACGCCGUAAACGAUGAGUGCUAGACGUUGGCGGGCUUGCUCGUCAGUGUCGCAGCUAACGCAUUAAGCACUCCGCCUGGGGAGUACGGCCGCAAGGUUAAAACUCAAAGGAAUUGACGGGGGCCCCGCACAAGCGGUGGAGCAUGUGGUUUAAUUCGAAGCAACGCGCAGAACCUUACCAACCCUUGACAUGGGGAUUCUGGGCCCGGGAGAUCGGGUCCUUCAGUUCGGCUGGGUCCCACACAGGUGCUGCAUGGCUGUCGU
Molecule: ribosomal RNA, 267 nt
Filed under: uncultured bacterium
Lineage: Bacteria
Description: partial 16S ribosomal RNA
Rfam family: Bacterial small subunit ribosomal RNA
Source: RNAcentral